AUGCACAACACGGUUAAGAGAACAAUCCCCGACCAACUUGCCGAGCCAUCCACAGCGCCCAAUGACGCCGAGGUCACCCGCCACGAUAUCCACCGCAGCGCCGCCCGACCCCAAAGCCUGUCGCCGCUCUUUGCGGCGCCGAGCACCACGGCCCCGCCUGCCCGUCGACCACCAUACCCUCAAGCAGCCGCCGCUCACCGCACAGUAUUUGCCGUUGAAAUUCAAUCUCUCGCAUCGCCGUGA
This 243-nucleotide ribosomal RNA is filed under the name Triticum aestivum (bread wheat). Its description in RNAcentral is "partial small subunit ribosomal RNA". The record is from RNAcentral. Lineage: Eukaryota; Viridiplantae; Streptophyta; Magnoliopsida; Poales; Poaceae.